This 79-nucleotide transfer RNA is filed under the name Arsenophonus sp. RNAcentral's name for it is "tRNA-Thr". It matches the Rfam family "tRNA". Rfam says of the family: Transfer RNA (tRNA) molecules are approximately 80 nucleotides in length. Lineage: Bacteria; Pseudomonadati; Pseudomonadota; Gammaproteobacteria; Enterobacterales; Morganellaceae. The record is from RNAcentral.
GCUGAUAUAGCUCAGUAAAGGUUAGAGCACAUCCUUGGUAAGGAUGAGGUCGGUGGUUCGAAUCUACCUAUCAGCACCA